GAGCAUCCCUGCGCUGCCGUGGCCACGCGCCCGCGAGAGGCGAAGGGGCAGCACCGCCGGGCAGCCCCCAGCCAGCGGAGCUGAAGGAGGAGGAGGAGGAUGGAGACAGGGGGACCGGGCGCCCUGUGCGCUGGAGGAGGAUGAGGAUGAUGCAGAAGCCGGAUCCUCAUAGCGUGGGAAAGACUCAAGCUGCCGGCAUCCGACCGGGGAUUUAU
This 215-nucleotide long non-coding RNA is filed under the name Otus sunia (Oriental scops-owl). Its description in RNAcentral is "lncRNA (ENSOSUG00000010569.1)". Lineage: Eukaryota; Metazoa; Chordata; Aves; Strigiformes; Strigidae. The record is from RNAcentral.